Mesocricetus auratus (golden hamster) is the source of this 1146-nucleotide long non-coding RNA. RefSeq lists it as uncharacterized. The record is from RefSeq and is a predicted model, not a curated record. NCBI's taxonomy places the organism in Eukaryota, Metazoa, Chordata, Mammalia, Rodentia, Cricetidae. The transcript is spliced from 3 exons.
CAGAGGGGCCUGGCUGGGGACUGUAAAGAAAGGGCAGUUGCAAGCAGACGGAGAAUAAAAACCAAAAUGGAUUUAUCCUCUUUAAGUAGACUACACAGCCAGCACUUGGGAGCGGACAUGGGACAUCACGGCUACAAAAAAAGCACUUUGACCAUGAACCAAACAAUAAGCUGUAGAUGUCCUCAAAAUAUAAAGAUGCCUUGGUCUUCAAGAUUUCCCACCACACUGGAUUCUCCGGCAGAGGAAUAUAAGGGAAGCACACGGUACUUCCCCAGGCUGGGUUCUCCGGCGACGUGAAAACCAGCAAGUGCAGUGUGCCGCUCUUGUUGCCAUGCCUGCCAGGAAGCUGAAACAGAACUGAGCCGGAAUUCUGGGAGUCAAAAACCCGACUCUUACUGUUCUUUAUUUCCGCCUUUAUCUCCCAUUCCCAUCGGCCAUUACAAGCUGCCUCCUUCUUUCAUCGUUUUCAAGGAUAUUGAAUCCUCUGGGUCAGGCACACCGGAACCUUUUGGAGGGCAGAUGAGCCACCUUGCAAAGACUCUGGGAGAGCACCAAGCAGAAAAAGGUAUCGUCUCUUUCUGAGUUCUACUGACUCAGACAAUACCAGGAAAGAGGAGGCUGAGACACACAGAGGAAAAUGACACCGUGAGCUCCAGAAAGGGACCAUGGCUCCUCUCUAGGCCACCCUCUGAGGUUUUUCGCUGCAUGUCUGUCUGUCUGUGAACCUCAUGCAUGCAGUAUCCAUGGAAGCCAAUACAACCAUGUGGAUUCAGGAGGUGCUCUUGCCUGCUAAGCCUUCUCUCCAGAAUGUUGCACAAUAAACAAAAGACCCAGAGACUGAUGCUGUGGUUCAAGCUGAAGAACAGAAAAGCAAAGUAGCUGGCCACUAGCUCUUACUUCAAGCUCAGGCUGAAAGGGCUGAUCCACACACGAGCUCUUCACCAAGCCUCAGACUGCUGCCUCUCCCCAGUGUGGCUGGAGAAUCCUGAGAUUUCAAUGUCUGCCUAUUCUCCUUGAUACUAAGCCUUCUCAUCUUGAGUUGAAAGACCUAGGCAUCAAAGCGCCGGGCACUGAACCGAACCCUCUGCCCAAGAACCGGGGCCAGACCACUGGCUUCAAAUGCAAGAGGUGAUUUAUUGAGUACAC